AAAAAAUAUACCCUGAUUUUCAUGUCCAACGUUUGAAUGUCCGUCUUAUAUGAUUUUUUUUUUACAAUUAGUACUUUUAUUGUUGUUAGAUGAUAAAACAUGAUUAAUACUUUAUGCGUGACUUGUUUUUUUAAUUUUUUUUAUAUAUUUUUUAAAUAAAACGGACGGUCAAAUGUUAGAAAAAAACAGGGUUUAUCUUUUU
RNAcentral lists this microRNA precursor (202 nucleotides) under Oryza barthii. RNAcentral describes it as "MIR812 microRNA precursor family". It matches the Rfam family "MIR812 microRNA precursor family". Lineage: Eukaryota; Viridiplantae; Streptophyta; Magnoliopsida; Poales; Poaceae. The record is from Rfam by way of RNAcentral.